Molecule: ribosomal RNA, 256 nt
Filed under: uncultured bacterium
Lineage: Bacteria
Description: partial 16S ribosomal RNA
Rfam family: Bacterial small subunit ribosomal RNA
Source: RNAcentral
UGGCGGACGGGUGAGUAAUGUCUGGGAAACUGCCCGAUGGAGGGGGAUAACUACUGGAAACGGUAGCUAAUACCGCAUAACGUCGCAAGGCCAAAGAGGGGGACCUUCGGGCCUCUUGCCAUCGGAUGUGCCCAGAUGGGAUUAGCUAGUAGGUGGGGUAACGGCUCACCUAGGCGACGAUCUCUAGCUGGUCUGAGAGGAUGACCAGCCACACUGGAACUGAGACACGGUCCAGACUCCUACGGGAGGCAGCAUG